AUGAUGAUGAUGGUGGUGAAGA
Molecule: microRNA, 22 nt
Filed under: Canis lupus familiaris (dog)
Lineage: Eukaryota; Metazoa; Chordata; Mammalia; Carnivora; Canidae
Description: Cfa-Mir-12464_5p* (star (passenger))
Source: RNAcentral